AAAGAAGCAACCGAUACAGAAGCUAAGUAAAGUUCAGCCACCAUUCCAGAAAUUUCAACCAAACAAAAGAAAUUGACACAAGCAGACAAAGGAAAUUGACAGAAGCCGUUGUGCACAGAUCUGAUGCUUCACUGUGGGGGCUUGCUAUAGCGAAGCUCCUCCAUAAUGAGUUCAAUGUAAUCAUAGCGCUCGACGUCAUCAAAGCAUACGAAUGCACAUCUUUGUCCCGCAUUUCUUCUUUCGGCAAAGUACAUUGUCGCUUUCAGCUUAACCGAUUUUGGAAGUUGCAUAUUUUUCACCAUGUCUUGAACUACCGGUACACUGUAUUGUGCUUCCUCUUCAUACCGAUUUUGAUUAAAUUCAUACGAAGUGGUGGUGAUGUGAG
This 385-nucleotide long non-coding RNA is filed under the name Coffea arabica (coffee). RNAcentral describes it as "long non-coding RNA (CARA_LNC000214)". Lineage: Eukaryota; Viridiplantae; Streptophyta; Magnoliopsida; Gentianales; Rubiaceae. The record is from RNAcentral.